GAGCUGAAGAAAAAACCAUGAGGACUCAGGAAAGCAUGAGAGGCGGUGAUCCUAUUACUGACUCAGUGUUCACACACAUCAUUAGAGCACAGAUGUAAGAUUUCUUGUUUAAGAAAGCUGAGGUGAAGAGUAGUUUUUAAAAAAUGAAAAAUGACACAUUUUAUCUUUAGAUGAGAAAGAUAAAGUGUUGCCAAAACCUGCUUCAUAGAUCAUUUCCUUACAAUUUUCUACUAAAGAUAUCAUUUUAUAUUUACCCCAAGAGAAGAGAAAACUGGAGAAGUCCUGAUAGGAAAUCUAUAAAAUCCACUAGCCUGUUCAAGGAUAUGGAAAUACAGCAAUAGGAACAAAGCAGGCAUUAGUUAAACAUAACCACCAGUGAUCUGCUUCCCUAUGCAGUACUUGUUAAUUGACAAUGGAAGCAGUGACUGAAAGAUCAAGGGCCAAUGUUGACAAUUGUUCAAGUUGUGUACUGAAUAAAUCCAGUGACUAAUGUUUCCUCCCCACAGUGUGGCAUUUGUUCCCACUUUCCAGCAGGUGGCAAUCACAGUUUUUUAAGGAAGGGAUGUCUCCUCUCCAUAGUUCAUCCUUUGAGGAUGGUAGGGAAAAAAAAAAGUGUGUGUCUCAGAAGCCAUGCCCUUCACUGCCACCUAGGGAAGUCCUGCAAACAAGAAGUAACUCUUCUGAGGUGAUAAGCCCAGUUGCAUUUUUGCACAGUUCUUAAAGCAAGCACAUAAAAUUGGUGUUCCAGGAAGCAUUAAGUUCAAUUGCCCUUUAAUAGCUCAAUACCGUCAACUGGAGGCACACUUCUGCUCCCCGUUGGAACAUCAUAGAAAAGUCAGCAAACAAAUGUUUUUGUUGUUGUUUUGGUGUGUGUGUGUGUGUGUGUGUGUGUGUGUGUGUGUGUGUGUGUGUGUGUGCUUGGUUUGUUUGCUUUGAUUUUUAUUCUCUUACCAGGGACAAUGAGUAAUGCAAACACCAGAGAUCUCUCCCCCAAAACAGUUGAACGUGGGGACCUCAUUCAUUUUACCUGUGGAUUCACAGAAGUACCUGGACAACGGCUGGAUAGAAAACAACAUCUUGAUGGUUCAUUCAUUUUUAUUCAUAGUAACUACAAACAGAAUGAAAAUAUAAUUGCUCGUUCCAGGAGCUUCCAACCUGGCAGAAUCUACACUGUUCCUUGGCCCUGCAUCUUAAUGACAGAUAAAUAAAGACAGCCCUUGAUGUGCUUCCAGG
RNAcentral lists this long non-coding RNA (1233 nucleotides) under Rattus norvegicus (Norway rat). RNAcentral's name for it is "long non-coding RNA NONRATT031602". The record is from RNAcentral. Lineage: Eukaryota; Metazoa; Chordata; Mammalia; Rodentia; Muridae.